AAAGGCAUGGUCCCGACCUUUUGAUCAGCU
RNAcentral lists this small RNA (30 nucleotides) under Danio rerio (zebrafish). Its description in RNAcentral is "F_smithRNA10r". The record is from RNAcentral. Lineage: Eukaryota; Metazoa; Chordata; Actinopteri; Cypriniformes; Danionidae.